UGAAUACGAGACGCUAAGGCGUCGAAGUAGUGUAUGUCAUACUUCCAAGAAAAGCUUGCACUGUCAUAGAUAAAAAACGCCUGUACCAUAACCGACACAGGUGGGUAGGUAGAGUAUACUAAGGGGCGCGAGAUAACUCUCUCUAAGGAACUCGGCAAAAUAACUCCGUAACUUCGGGAGAAGGAGUGCCUUAUUAUUAAGGCUGCAAUAACAAGAUCCAAGCAACUGUUUAUCAAAAACACAGGUCUCCGCUAAGUCGUAAGACGAUGUAUGGGGGCUGACGCCUGCCCAGUGCCAGAAGGUUAAAGAAGUUGGUUAGCAUUUGCGAAGCUGAUAACUGAAGCCCUGGUGAACGGCGGCCGUAACGAUAACGGUCCUAAGGUAGCGAAAUUCCUUGUCGGGUAAGUUCCGACCCGCACGAAAGGCGUAAUGAUUUGGAUACUGUCUCGGAGAGGGGCUCGGUGAAAUAGACUUGUCUGUGAAGAUGCGGACUACCUGCACCAGGACAGAAAGACCCUAUGAAGCUUUACUGUAACUUGAAAUUGAAAUUGGACUUUAUUCGCGCAGCAUAGGUGGGAGGCGUUGAUAUAAUCUUGUGGGAUUAUUGGAGCCAUCAGUGAGAUACCACUCUUGUAAUGUUAGAUUUCUAACUUUGAAUCAUUAUCUGGUCAAAGAACAGUUUCAGGCGGGCAGUUUGACUGGGGCGGUCGCCUCCUAAACGGUAACGGAGGCGUACAAAGGUUUCCUCUGAACGGUUAGAAAUCGUAUCUAGAGUGUAAAGGCAUAAGGAAGCUUGACUGUGAGACCUACAAGUCGAGCAGGGACGAAAGUCGGUCUUAGUGAUCUGACGGUACUGAGUGGAAAGGCCGUCACUCAACGGAUAAAAGUUACUCUAGGAUAACAGGCUGAUCUCCCCCAAGAGUUCACAUCGACGGGGAGGUUUGGCACCUCGAUGUCGGCUCAUCGCAUCCUGGGGCGGUAGUACGUCCCAAGGGUUGGGCUGUUCGCCCAUGAAAGCGGUACGCGAGCUGGGUUCAGAACGUCGUGAGACAGUUCGGUCCAUAUCCGGUGUAGGCGUUAGAAUAUUGAGAGGAGCCUUCUUUAGUACGAGAGGACCGAGAAGGACAUACCUCUGGUGUACCAGUUAUCGUGCCAACGGUAAACGCUGGGUAGCUAUGUAUGGAGUGGAUAACCGCUGAAAGCAUCUAAGUGGGAAGCCCACCUCAAGAUAAGUAUUCUCAC
RNAcentral lists this ribosomal RNA (1242 nucleotides) under metagenome. Its description in RNAcentral is "bacterial LSU rRNA". It matches the Rfam family "Bacterial large subunit ribosomal RNA", at positions 1564 to 2817 of the family's 2925-position model. The record is from RNAcentral.